RNAcentral lists this long non-coding RNA (584 nucleotides) under Ananas comosus (pineapple). Its description in RNAcentral is "long non-coding RNA (ACOM_LNC038950)". Lineage: Eukaryota; Viridiplantae; Streptophyta; Magnoliopsida; Poales; Bromeliaceae. The record is from RNAcentral.
AUUAAUUUCUUAACCCUCAUAUUAUCUCCAAAUGUCUUCAAAAAUGGGUGGGGUUAGCUAACCCCACCUCAAAUAUGCUAUCCUGAGUUAGCUAACCCCACCUCAAAUAUGCUAUCCUGAGUUAGCUAAUCCCACCUAACCCCAUCAAACCUCAACCAAACACUAUUUUCUAUUUAUAAUAACCCACUAUCCUUCUUAUCUCAUCUACUCUAACCAAACACUAUUUUUCACUAUUCUGGACUAACUCCAACCCCCAACCAAACACAAAAAUACUCUAACCCUACCUCAAUCCUGAACUUAAUCCAAUUCCUGGAAUAACUAGUUUUUCCUUAACCCCGAACCGAACGGUAGCUAAAGAUUAAUUAUAAGAGCUUAUAUAACUCUAUAAUCUCAAUUAUGGUAGGAAACGAUCUCCGCCAUACAUCCGAGUCUCCGAUUCGUAUUUAACCAUCAAUCUCCUCAUAGGAAUUAUCUUUAAAGUGAUCUUGAACUAUUCUUAAUAUUUUAAAAUAAGAUUAAAUUCAAUUAGAGUCAAAUUCAGCAUAUUCAACUGGUCGCAUAACUGUGUACUGGUACUCAAAGUU